Non-coding RNA from Podarcis lilfordi (Lilford's wall lizard), 68 nucleotides. The record is from the annotation of a GenBank genome assembly. Lineage: Eukaryota; Metazoa; Chordata; Lepidosauria; Squamata; Lacertidae.
GCUUGAUAGUUGGUUAGUGUGUGGUGCUGAUAAUACCAAGGUCGCAGGUUCGAUCCCUGCAUGGGACU